This 504-nucleotide ribosomal RNA is filed under the name uncultured bacterium. RNAcentral's name for it is "partial 16S ribosomal RNA". It matches the Rfam family "Bacterial small subunit ribosomal RNA", at positions 30 to 523 of the family's 1533-position model. The record is from RNAcentral.
AUUGAACGCUGGCGGCAGGCCUAACACAUGCAAGUCGGACGGUAGCACAGAGAGCUUGCUCUCGGGUGACGAGUGGCGGACGGGUGAGUAAUGUCUGGGGAUCUGCCCGAUAGAGGGAGAUAACUACUGGAAACGGUAGCUAAUACCGCAUAACGUCGCAAGACCAAAGUGGGGGACCUUCGGGCCUCACACCAUCGGAUGUGCCCAGAUGGGAUUAGCUAGUAGGUGGGGUAAUGGCUCACCUAGGCGACGAUCCCUAGCUGGUCUGAGAGGAUGACCAGCCACACUGGAACUGAGACACGGUCCAGACUCCUACGGGAGGCAGCAGUGGGGAAUAUUGCACAAUGGGCGCAAGCCUGAUGCAGCCAUGCCGCGUGUAUGAAGAAGGCCUUCGGGUUGUAAAGUACUUUCAGCGGGGAGGAAGGCGGUGAAGUUAAUAGCUUCACCGAUUGACGUUACCCGCAGAAGAAGCACCGGCUAACUCCGUGCCAGCCGCCGCAGUAA